AGGAUUGUAGUUAACUAUAAUAUUUGGUUUGCAUCCAAAAGGUGUUGGUCUCCAACCUAUCUUA
Molecule: transfer RNA, 64 nt
Filed under: unidentified
Description: Epeorus sp. 02 ZXM-2022a tRNA-Ala
Rfam family: tRNA
About the family: Transfer RNA (tRNA) molecules are approximately 80 nucleotides in length. Their secondary structure includes four short double-helical elements and three loops (D, anti-codon, and T loops).
Source: RNAcentral